Long non-coding RNA from Manis javanica (Malayan pangolin), 2427 nucleotides. RefSeq lists it as uncharacterized. Lineage: Eukaryota; Metazoa; Chordata; Mammalia; Pholidota; Manidae. The record is from RefSeq and is a predicted model, not a curated record.
UCUUGGGCUAAGCUGGCGGUGGGGGUGGGAGCCUGCUGAGCGCGGUCUCUGGCGAAUCUGCAGCCACGGGGCCCGGAGGAGCAGGCGAGCGUUCCAGGGCCGCCACCAGGGGGCAGUGCCGCCCAGCGCAGAGCGCAGCCUGGCCGGACGGCGAGGCGCAGCCGGUGCCCCGGCGGCCAGGAAACUUGGCUCCAGCGCAGCAAAACUUCCAUGACUAUGUGUCUAUUUCUUGAUAUCCUGAGCGUCCUGAUUAGCUGAAGAAGGACGCUGACCACCAGGAACACUAAGUAAAGGCCGAACAUGAUGAAGCCCAGCACUUUGUUCAUCCGCCAUUUGCAGAGGGCGAUGGAGAGGAUGACGAAGAGCAGCAUGAUGAAGAGGAGGACAAUGGCGCAGAAGAGCCCGUUGCUGCUGACAGCCACUGGCUGGAAUCUGUGGAUGAUGGUAUACAGGAGCCAGGGCAGUGGGAGCCUGUGAGGGAGAGGGGCAGGGCAGACGUGCAGUCAGACAUGCGGAAGGCCUAUGCGGUGACACAAGCUUAUUGGAACAUAAUCUGAGCAGGGUGUCUUGUUAGGCCCACUGUGACUCGGGCAUGGCCCAGAAAAUCACCUAAGGAAGUCAAGUGAACUUUAAAAUCUUUUAUCUAUUUCCCGAUCAAAUUAGGGAGAACAGAGAGAAUUUGUUCUACAGUUGAAUAAGAUCAAAGACAUGUCUGCUGUAGGUGAUUUCUGAAUUUGAUUCAAAAUAAUUUUUUUCUUUCUUUUCUUUUUGGGAUUAAAAUGUUGCUCUCACCCCUAAACAGGUGACCUAGAGAAUCUGUACGGGGUGAGAGGAGCAGAAAACAAAAGGAGAAAAGAAAAUAAUUUUGCCAUUUUCACCCAGUUUUAUUUUUGAAAAUGGAGAUAGAAUAGCAAUAACUUAAUUAAUGAUCUAAGAGUAAGUGAAAAUAUAUGCUUAUGAUGGAGGCUGUUUUGCAAUAUAACUGUCUGAAUAUUAUUUUGGAAAAGAGGGGCAAACCUUUUGACUAGAAAAUGGUCUUUAUGAAUGAUCUGAGGAAACAGUAUCUUACAUUUGUGAUGUGAUUUUGAAAAAAUUUAUUACGUAUUUUUAUACCCAUUCUCUCCCUUUGCUUUUGCCUUUUGAUAACAAUCUGAUAAAAUCUUUUGUUUCCUGUUCAUGACUCUGAAAGACAUCAGAAAAUCUAACUGCCAGGUGCCCUAUGAAGUGGGUUAAAAACCCUGUGUGAAAGGAACAUGGCUGAAAAUGCACAACUGCACCUCCAAGGGCUGGGUGAGAUGAAGCCAUGGAGCCUAAGGCUGGGAAACCACAGCCCCAGCCACCCAUCUGCACAGCAAAUGACAAAGGGAGAUUUAGUUUUGGCCUAGCCUCAGGGAUAUGGAAGAAAGAGGUGCCUUUUUGAAACUCAAAAUUCUCCAGAGGAAAAGCAAAUCACUUGAGAGAAAUAAUGAGAUGAAAGAGGCAGUGAGCUUACACACUGGUUUCCUCUGCUGGAGAGAGUGCUUGUGAAGACAGGGCCAUACCUGGUAUGCAUCUUUGAAUUCCUGGGGCUUGGGACAUGCAGGCUUCAGUUUGGCUGCCUAUGUUAACCUGGGCCAAGCUGAAAUCAUGGCGAGCAGUAUGGGCGCUUUGCCGGCUAGGCACUGAGAGGCACUGCCUUCAGAGGAGGAUGUCUGGAGGAAGGGCUCUGCAGGGCUGGCUCAGGAAACGAGGUGCAAUCCCAGCUCUCGGCAGUAGGGGGUGGCCCUGUUAGCCCACCGUCAGUACUGGGGAGUCAGAGCAGGGGAAGGGCAUGGCAGAGAGGGGUGACCAAAUGAAAAUGACAACCUCCUGUUAGGGACUUGUCCUAGGGAACUCUUCUUCCACACUUCCCGGGGAAGAACAAAAAAACCAAAAAACUUGUACUUUUAUUAAAUGGAAGUGGAAAAAGACCAAAAAACUUGUACACUUAUUAAGGAAGAACACACACACACAAACAGUUCUAGUGAAGUUGUGGUUGAUGCCACUACAAAUAGGUAAAAUAGGUAAAAACCCUUUGGGGGAAGAACAACACUUUUCAUACCUUUGGACCUAUCAAUUCUACAGUCAGAGAUCAAGUAUAAGGAGUAAUUCAAAAUGUAUAUAUAUAUAUGAAUUAAAAAAGGUGGUGGGUCAUCACUGAUUUCUAUUUAUGGUUUAUAUGAAUUUUCUAAACCUUUACCAUGAGUAUGUUUUAAUCUUAUGAGCAAGAAGAAAAUGCUGGAAAGACUAUGAAGAACGUUUUAUACUCAAUAUAUUGACAGUGACUUUGUAAAUUAGUAUAAACCCUUGGGAAAGACCGGAUGGAAAAAAUACAUUAGUAGCCAAUAAAUAGCUCAUAAUCCUUAAUUCAUUAAUAUUUCUUGAAGGAAUUUAUCCUAAUAAAAAUAA